This 611-nucleotide ribosomal RNA is filed under the name Penicillium sumatraense. RNAcentral's name for it is "eukaryotic LSU rRNA". It matches the Rfam family "Eukaryotic large subunit ribosomal RNA", at positions 1 to 626 of the family's 3401-position model. RNAcentral also lists the same sequence under 1 other name. Lineage: Eukaryota; Fungi; Ascomycota; Eurotiomycetes; Eurotiales; Aspergillaceae. The record is from RNAcentral.
UUGACCUCGGAUCAGGUAGGGAUACCCGCUGAACUUAAGCAUAUCAAUAAGCGGAGGAAAAGAAACCAACCGGGAUUGCCCUAGUAACGGCGAGUGAAGCGGCAAGAGCUCAAAUUUGAAAGCUGGCUCCUUCGGGGUCCGCAUUGUAAUUUGCAGAGGAUGCUUCGGGAGCGGUCCCCAUCUAAGUGCCCUGGAACGGGCCGUCAUAGAGGGUGAGAAUCCCGUCUGGGAUGGGGUGCCCGCGCCCGUGUGAAGCUCCUUCGACGAGUCGAGUUGUUUGGGAAUGCAGCUCUAAUUGGGUGGUAAAUUUCAUCUAAAGCUAAAUAUUGGCCGGAGACCGAUAGCGCACAAGUAGAGUGAUCGAAAGAUGAAAAGCACUUUGAAAAGAGAGUUAAACAGCACGUGAAAUUGUUGAAAGGGAAGCGCUUGCGAUCAGACUCGCCCGCGGGGUUCAGCCGGCAUUCGUGCCGGUGUACUUCCCCGUGGGCGGGCCAGCGUCGGUUUGGGCGGCCGGUCAAAGGCCCCUGGAAUGUAACGCCUCUCGGGGCGUCUUAUAGCCAGGGGUGCCAUGCGGCCUGCCCGGACCGAGGAACGCGCUUCGGCUCGGACGC